Molecule: ribosomal RNA, 440 nt
Filed under: uncultured bacterium
Lineage: Bacteria
Description: partial 16S ribosomal RNA
Rfam family: Bacterial small subunit ribosomal RNA
Source: RNAcentral
CCUACGGGAGGCAGCAGUGGGGAAUAUUGCACAAUGGGGGAAACCCUGAUGCAGCGACGCCGCGUGAGUGAAGAAGUAUUUCGGUAUGUAAAGCUCUAUCAGAAGGGAAGAAAAUGACGGUACCUGAUUAAGAAGCCCCGGCUAACUACGUGCCAGCAGCCGAGGUAAUACGUAGGGGGCAAGCGUUAUCCGGAUUUACUGGGUGUAAAGGGAGCGUAGGCGGCAGCACAAGUCUGGAGUGAAAUGCCGGGGCCCAACCCCGGAACUGCAUUGGAAACUGUGCUGCGGGAGUGCAGGAGAGGUAAGUGGAAUUCCUAGUGUAGCGGUGAAAUGCGUAGAUAUUAGGAGGAACACCAGUGGCGGAGGCGGCUUACUGGACGGUAACUGACGCUGAGGCUCGAAAGCGUGGGGAGCAAACAGGAUUAGAUACCCGGGUAGUC